This is a long non-coding RNA of Callithrix jacchus (white-tufted-ear marmoset), 3982 nucleotides long. RefSeq lists it as uncharacterized. The record is from RefSeq and is a predicted model, not a curated record. Lineage: Eukaryota; Metazoa; Chordata; Mammalia; Primates; Cebidae.
GUUCCUGAAGCAAGAGAGCUCAAUAUGCAUCAGUAGCUCCCUAUUCUCACCACCAUGUGAAAGCCAAAAAAACGGCCACCAGUGUACAGAAACAACGCCCUACCCCUGACCAGAAUCAUCCUGAGGUAAAUUCUGUCAACCACAGCGGGUUGCUUUUCUGUCUGUUUUUACAUACGUCUUCUCCUGGCCAACUUUCCCAUUACUAACAGAGACCUAGGCCUCCCAAACACAUAGACAGAAGCUAGUCUUUUAGAUACAUUAACUUUUUGAGGAACAAACUGUCCACAAUGAGCAAGGUAGACAAAGGAGAGAAUUGGCAGGUAUAAUUUGAUUUCUGGAGAGCUUUUGAUUCUCUCCAGCUGCAUUUUCCUCAGCAAGCUAGGAAGUCGCGGACUUAACUAUACUCAUAUUAGUUAUGAGAAUAGCUCACUUCUUGGCUUGCAGAUCUGGGGACAAUCUCAAGGGACAGAUUAUGCAGAACUCCAAAGGAAACUGUGUUGGACGCCAUUCUAUUUUAAGAUUUUAAUGGAGUCAGAAAUAAGACUGAAAAAUAUAUGGAAUUUAAAAAAAAAUAGACAUGGAUAGGUUGUAAAAAUAAGUGAAAGUCAAUGGGGAUAAGCACAAAACACAAUUCUUAGGAGCCGAAACCAACCAUUCAUAUAUUAAUAAGCUGACAGUAUCACAAAGAAGUUACUUUUUGGAGGAUUGUCAGUCGAUUACUGGAUGGAUCAGUCAUUUAUUCAGCAAUCAAUAUGUUGCUAGGCAUAGGAGUCACAAAGAAAUUAAGAUCCUGUUUUUUUCCUUUAAAAAGUUUCUAAUACACCAGCCUCAGCACAUAAUGAGACCCUUUUCUCUACAAAGAACUUUGAAAAAUCAGCCAGGUGUGGUGGCACGCAACUGUGGUCCCAGCUACUCAGGAGGCUGAGGUGGGAGGAUCACUUGAGCCCAGGAGGUCAAGCAAGGCUGCGGUGAGCCUAGUAGCAGAGUGAACCCUUGUCUCUCCAUAAAAACAAAACAAAAAACAGCCAGCAUGACCACCUGCUACAAAGAAUAUUGCAUUUCAGAGGAGGAAGGACCAGAAUGGGGUGAAGAAGUUUUACUCUUUCACACCUUUUGUCCCACCACAAACAAAGCACCACACACACACACUUUCAGGGGGAAUAUUUAUGUAUUUACAGACAUGAUCAUCGGUCAGGUCAUUUAUAAAGUAUUGAGUUUUUAAGGAUCUAAAAACCAUCUCUCUGGUUUAAAACUUUAACAACCAUAAUGUAAUUCAAAAGUAGAAAUUCUAAUAAGAGUUUUGAGUAAUGGCCGGGCGCAAUGGCUCACGCCUGUAAUCCCGGCACUUUGGGAGGCCGAGGCUGGCGGAUCAUGAGGUCAAGAGUUCGAGAUCAACCGAAAUCCGGUCUCUACUAAAAACACGAAAAUUAAGCGGGUGUGGUGGCACGUGCCUGUAAUGCCAGCUACCCAGGAGACGGAGAGCAAGAGAAUCGCUUGAACCUGGGAGGCAGAGGUUGCAGAGAGCCGAGAUCGGGCCACUGCACUCCAGCCUGGGCGACAGAGCGAGACCCCAUCUCGAAAACAAAACAAAACAGUUGUGAGUAUAAUAUUUAUUUCUAUAUUCAUGACCAAACACAGCCGAAAGGUCACUUGCGGGAGCAGCGCCCCGGGAAGACUUCUGAGCCUCGGUCAUAGCAGCCCUAUUUCCGGGCCCGCCCCCUUCCCCAUGCACAGGUGACCCCAAAGGCCCCCAGCGCUCAGGGGCUGUGACUAAGCGCCACUGUGAGAAGGUGCAGCGCGUACACCGGGUUUAUUAAUAGGAACGUGACCGCACGCGGGGGGGCCGACCCCCUUUUUCUCGGCGCUGAGGCCGGAACCCGAGUGCUGCGGUUAGAGGGUCACAAAGGUCAGCUGAAACCCGAGACCACCGCCGAGAAGCCAGGAAGCCGACGGAGAGUGACUUAACCCAACGAUGGGAAAGAGACCGCGGCUACCUCUCCCGCACCCCAGCAAGACCCGGGGGCUCCCAAAGGCCAGGCCGGGAACCCGGCUGAGAAAACGUCGGGGUGGCAGGCUGACACAGCUGUCAAUUACCGCCGAGCCUUCUGGGAAACAUAGUCCUGAGCAAGACCUCAAAGGACUCGCAGCCGUGGAUGCACAGUUUGAAGGGUUGACAAGUACUAAACCCAAUUCUCGAGCUACCGCCCCGGGAACCGCCUGUUUGUUGCGGAGGGAUCUAAAUGUUGUUCCCCCAGUGUGGGAUCUGCAGAUGCGGAUCUUCUGGCCUCCCACGCCCACCUCUGAGCAGCCUUGUGCCCACAGCGAGGUCUCCCGCCCUCUGGCACAUCGCCCCUCCCCAGCACGGAGCAGCUCAGCCCUUUGGCCUUUGCGGCCUCUCUUCUGCCCAUCCUUCCACCCCAUCUCGGCGGCCGGAGCCUGCUGGGUGUUUGCGCGGCGAGGUCCCAGGCCGACUCUAACUGGACAUAAGAAGGGUCCAGCAGAAGCCCAGAGUAGAAAACAGACGUUCCGCCUCCUUCCCUUGGCAUCAGACUCCCAGGACGUCCCCUUCUGUCUGGCUGGUAGCCAGAGGAGGCGGGCGAGGCGCCAAGUAUUCUGGGAAAUGUGCUAUUGGGCUGUAAACUGGGAGCUCCUGGGUCUCCUGUGAGAGCCAGAGGUCACUUUGGGCUGGCCCCUAGCUAAAAAAUAGUAACGCCUUUCCUUAAAGUGAAGAAAAUGUGCCUGUCGGCCGGGCGCGGUGGCUCAAGCCUGUAAUCCCAACACUUUAGGAGGCCAAGGCGGGUGGAUCACGAGGUCAAGAGAUCGAGACCAUCCUGGUCAACAUGGUGAAACCCCGUCUCUACUAAAAAUACAAAAAAUUAGCUGGGCAUGGUGGCGCGUGCCUGUAAUCCCAGCUACUCAGGAGGCUGAGGCAGGAGAAUUGCCUGAACCCAGGAGGCGGAGGUUGCAGUGAGCCGAGAUCACGCCAUUGCACUCCAGCCUGAGUAACAAGAGCGAAACUCCGUCUCAAAAAAAAAGAAAAUGUGCCUGUCUACUCUGUGGAUUCAGUGCAAUUGAGAAAAAGAACAGAACAUUUUGUGAUGGACUAUAAAACGCUUAGAAUUACCAGCCAUAGAGCUAAUGUGGAAGAUACAUUUGAUGUCAAUUCCACCAUUCCUUCAACACACAUAGGGUGCAUUUUCCAAUGGAUAUUUACUGGUAACGGUCUAUACUUAAGAUCGUUCUGGGAACUGUGGUCACUCAGGAAUCAUAUAUAACCACUGCCUUCAUGAAGCUCACAGCCCAACAGGGGAGAUAAACCACAAAAGGUAUCAAAAUUCUAAGUCAUAUUUUGUCUUUUCUUUUUUUCUGAAGACCUAGGAACACAAAAACCAAAUUUUUUUUUUUAAGACAGGGUUUCACGAAAAUUGGUCAGGCUGGUCUCGAACUCCUGACCUCAGGUGAUCCGCCCACCUCAGCCUCCCAAAGUGUUGGGAUUACAGGUGUGAGCCACCGCACGCGGCCAAAUGUUUGGUUUUUUAAACCAAUACAUUUUGGGGUAAUUUGUUCCAGAAUAGUUCUGUUCCAGUAUAGCUAGUAGAAUCUUAGUUAUUUUUAGAUAACUGUAGUCAUCUGCAAGAUAACCACACAGCAUUUCGAGAAACUCUGUCCACUAUGAACAAAUGUCUGGUUAGCAGAGGUAGUUAGAUGUAGUUAAAUUUAGAUGAAAAUGAGGAAAGUGGAAAUCUCAGAGGAGCUCAGGAAUAAGGAACACUCAGGAAACCUCGGGAUUGCCAGGACUCCUGUGACUGGAAGAGUUCAGGACCUGGAGAACUGAAGGCAUCUUCAGGCCCCUCGGCUCUUAGUGCAUCCAAGAUCCUGAGCUGCCAGGGGCCUGGCCACUCCUGCCCCCAGCCCUACCUUGGCUGAGCUGGUCACUGUUGCAUGUCCCGGGCUGCUGGCCUGCCUGUCAUCUGCAGUGCAC